Molecule: transfer RNA, 76 nt
Filed under: Acidobacteriota bacterium
Lineage: Bacteria; Pseudomonadati; Acidobacteriota
Description: Acidobacteria bacterium tRNA-Lys
Rfam family: tRNA
About the family: Transfer RNA (tRNA) molecules are approximately 80 nucleotides in length. Their secondary structure includes four short double-helical elements and three loops (D, anti-codon, and T loops). Further hydrogen bonds mediate the characteristic L-shaped molecular structure. tRNAs have two regions of fundamental functional importance: the anti-codon, which is responsible for specific mRNA codon recognition, and the 3' end, to which the tRNAs corresponding amino acid is attached (by aminoacyl-tRNA synthetases). tRNAs cope with the degeneracy of the genetic code in two manners: having more than one tRNA (with a specific anti-codon) for a particular amino acid; and 'wobble' base-pairing, i.e. permitting non-standard base-pairing at the 3rd anti-codon position.
Source: RNAcentral
GGGCCCUUAGCUCAGUCGGUAGAGCAUCUCCCUUUUAAGGAGGGUGUCGAUGGUUCGAAUCCAUCAGGGCUCACCA